UGUUAGAAAGACUGAGGGAGAACCUAAUUUAGUUUCUUGUUUCCGCCCGGACCGCUAUUAGUGUGACGCGCGCCGAAUCUUUAUUUCUUCAUGGUGGAUAUUUGUGUGCGUAAUAAAUAAAACCAUACUCAUAUGCUCCAUGAGCUCAGCAUGUAACAUGUGUUUCACAUGUACUUAUGCAUCUCAGCCUGUUAUGGACCAUGUUCUGUCUUUGGAGCCAUAUUAAAGCUGCCGAACAUUA
Molecule: long non-coding RNA, 241 nt
Organism: Cyprinodon tularosa
Lineage: Eukaryota; Metazoa; Chordata; Actinopteri; Cyprinodontiformes; Cyprinodontidae
Exons: 2
Source: RefSeq, a predicted model, not a curated record